AUAGGUAUAGCUCAGUGACAGAGUGCAUGCUUAAUAUACAUGAAGUCCUGGGUUCAAUCCCCAGUACCUCCA
RNAcentral lists this transfer RNA (72 nucleotides) under Camelus bactrianus (Bactrian camel). It matches the Rfam family "tRNA". From Rfam's summary of the family: Transfer RNA (tRNA) molecules are approximately 80 nucleotides in length. Their secondary structure includes four short double-helical elements and three loops (D, anti-codon, and T loops). Further hydrogen bonds mediate the characteristic L-shaped molecular structure. tRNAs have two regions of fundamental functional importance: the anti-codon, which is responsible for specific mRNA codon recognition, and the 3' end, to which the tRNAs corresponding amino acid is attached (by aminoacyl-tRNA synthetases). tRNAs cope with the degeneracy of the genetic code in two manners: having more than one tRNA (with a specific anti-codon) for a particular amino acid; and 'wobble' base-pairing, i.e. permitting non-standard base-pairing at the 3rd anti-codon position. The record is from Rfam by way of RNAcentral. RNAcentral also lists the same sequence under 2 other names. Lineage: Eukaryota; Metazoa; Chordata; Mammalia; Artiodactyla; Camelidae.